Molecule: ribosomal RNA, 1209 nt
Filed under: Megasyllis sp. 1 MTA-2011
Lineage: Eukaryota; Metazoa; Annelida; Polychaeta; Phyllodocida; Syllidae
Description: partial 18S ribosomal RNA
Rfam family: Eukaryotic small subunit ribosomal RNA
Source: RNAcentral
GUGCAAGCGUUUGUUACACAGUGAAACUGCGAAUGGCUCAUUAAAUCAGUUGUGGUUCAUUGGAUCGUAUUCACCCGUGAGUGGAUAACCGCGGCAAACCCGGGGCUAAUACAUGCACGCAGAUGCCUCGAUCCCUUCGCGGGGAGAGGGGCGCAGUUAUUAGACCAAGACCAACCGACCGUCGCUCGCUCCGGCGGGCCGGCGGCCGACCGUAUCUGUGGUGACUCUGGGUAACCUCGGGCUGAUCGCACGGCCUCCGCGCCGGCGACGUAUCUUUCAAAUGUCUGCCCUAUCAAAUGUCGAAGGGAGGUGCCUUGCCUCCCUUGUUGGCCACGGGUGACGGGGAAUCAGGGUUCGGUUCCGGAGAGGGAGCAUGAGAGUCGGCUACCACGUCCAAGGAAGGCAGCAGGCGCGCAAAUUACCCACUCCUGACACGGGGAGGUAGUGACGAAAACUAACGGUGCGGGACUCCGUUGAGGCUCCGCAACCGGAAUGAGUACACUUUAAAUCCUUGUAUCGAGGACCCAUUGGAGGGCAAGUCUGGUGCCAGCAGCCGCGGUAAUUCCAGCUCCAAUAGCGUAUAUUAAAGUUGUUGCAGUUAAAUGGAGCCUGCGGCUUAAUUUGACUCAACACGGGGAAACUCACCCGGCCCGGACACCGUAAGGAUUGACAGAAUGAGGGCUCUUUCUUGAUUCGGUGGGUGGUGGUGCAUGGCCGUUCUUAGUUGGUGGAGCGAUCCGUCUGGUUAAUUCCGAUAACGAACGAGACCCCGGCUUACUAAAUAGUCCGCCGUAGAGCCCGUGUUGCUCUCGGCGACCGCAAAUUUUGUUGAAAAUAGACUUCUUAGGGGGAGAAGCGGCGUCGCAACAGCCGCCUGAACGGGGGCAAUAACAGGUCUGUGAUGCCCUUAGAUGUCCGGGGCCGCACGCGCGCUACACUGAAAGAGUCAGAGGGUAGAGUCCCAGCCAGACAUGGCCGGGCAAUCCGUGGAAAAACUCUAUCGUGCUAGGGACUGGGGCUUGAAAUUGGCCUCACCAACGAGGAAUUCCCAGUAAGCGCGAGUCAUCAGCUCGUGUUGAUCACGUCCCUGCCCUUUGUACACACCGCCCGUCGCUACUACCGAUUGGAUGGUUUGGUGAGGCCUUCGGACGGGACCCGGGGCGGCCUUCCCGGCCGCUCGUCUUGGUGCUGCCCGGAAGGAGGUCGAAC